This is a long non-coding RNA of Passer domesticus (house sparrow), 1418 nucleotides long. RefSeq lists it as uncharacterized. The record is from RefSeq and is a predicted model, not a curated record. The transcript has 2 exons. NCBI's taxonomy places the organism in Eukaryota, Metazoa, Chordata, Aves, Passeriformes, Passeridae.
GACUAUAAUAAAAAAGAGAGAAAAAGGUACGAAACUGACAUAGACAUACACAGCUGUACUUAACCAAAAGUCUUCAGUUACUUCUUUGGCAUACUAUUAUCAUCAGAUCACAUUUGUAAAGAAACAGGAUUAAGUAAAGGCAAGACCUAGCAUGCCCGAACAAUAAUUGACACCGUAUGUAGGUAUUUUCACACAAAAAAAAUAAGAGACUUACUUUGGAGGUUAAGUUUAAGUUGUGGUUUAGCAGGGAGGAAAAAAGGGGUCAAGAAGUACUUUAUGUUAAGUUUAAUUUCUUGCUUUACUUACCCGACAUGUUAGUUGAGCAUCCUCAUUUCAGACUAUGAGACUGGAGUUUUCCAAGAAGGAAAAGUGUUUUAACUGACCAAAUGUUGACUUGGCAUAUUGGUAAAUAAGAUAAGCCAACUCUGGAAACAUCACACGGCUAUGUAAUUUAUUAACAUUUUAUGUUGAGGCUGAGGUUAAGGCCAGCCUUACUCUCUAGCCAGGUUAUGAGCACACUCAUUUAGGGCUACCUUGCUAGGUAAUGUGGGGCAAGGUGUGUGGGGCAUACAGGGCCCCAGAGCAAGUCAGGGGGGUCUGAGCAGCUGUUCUCCAGCCCCUGGAGCUCCUGGGUGGGAAGCUUUCCUCGGGGACUUAUGUCUGCACUUUAAGUCGAUGGUCAGUAAGAAGGGAAGAACUCAUUCUUCCCCCAGUCCCCAUUUCCAAACCAGUGUAGAGCACUGGUGUGACACCUGAGCCUUCCAACACUGGUUCAGAAAGGGCUGGGGGGCUUCAGCUGUGUGUCUGAGUUCCAUGCAUGGACGUGGACACAGCAACAAUGAGGAGGGUUGUGGGCCAGCAGGGAGACUGCAGCACAGAGCUAAUCCACUGCUGAACAGGGACCCACAAUUGAGGUCUCAUGUCUGGAAGGCUUGUCCUUUACCAGGACGGUGUUCUGAUCCUGUCACCUACUGACCCUUUCUAUAACCCUCUUGGAGGAUACAUUUAAUCAGCCCAAACGGAAUUACUUUUCCUUCAGCGUGCAGUGCUUAAAAGACCUGCUAGUGCAUUCAGAGAAAUGUCACCUUUGCCCAAUGAACUACCAGCUGAAAAGUCCUGAAAGCACUACACAAACCCCACAUCACCAGCAGGCUGACAAACUGGUGGCUGUCAGAGGUGUCCUGCAAGGUGUCCUACAGGACAGAAUGCAAUUUCACAGGUCAUUCAAAUGCAGGCAAGUGCAGUAGAAGAUGAAUUUUGCUUACUUUGGUUCGCCUAUCUUGAUACCCGGGUGUUGCGUGUAGGCAUGGGAGUGUGUGCUGGGAGCAGACUUAAAUGCCAUGGGACAGAUGGGACACUUGUAAAAGACUUCACAGUGACAACCUUGAAUAUGAGACUUGAGUGCCGCCACGUCAGAG